Molecule: non-coding RNA, 110 nt
Organism: Glycine soja
Lineage: Eukaryota; Viridiplantae; Streptophyta; Magnoliopsida; Fabales; Fabaceae
Source: Rfam
UGCAGAAGUGGACUGGCGUGGUAUUGCUUCUGCUCAUCUUUGCAUAUGAAUUUCAUCACAUCCCUUUAAAUAAGACGAGCCGAAUCAAUACCACUCCAGUACACUUCACU